Molecule: ribosomal RNA, 498 nt
Filed under: uncultured bacterium
Lineage: Bacteria
Description: partial 16S ribosomal RNA
Rfam family: Bacterial small subunit ribosomal RNA
Source: RNAcentral
AUUGAACGCUGGCGGCAUGCCUUACACAUGCAAGUCGAACGGUAACAGGUCUUCGGAUGCUGACGAGUGGCGAACGGGUGAGUAAUACAUCGGAACGUGCCUAGUAGUGGGGGAUAACUGCUCGAAAGAGUGGCUAAUACCGCAUGAGAUCUACGGAUGAAAGCAGGGGAUCGCAAGACCUUGUGCUACUAGAGCGGUCGAUGGCAGAUUAGGUAGUUGGUGGGAUAAAAGCUUACCAAGCCGACGAUCUGUAGCUGGUCUGAGAGGACGAUCAGCCACACUCGGACUGAGAAACGGCCCAGACUCCUACGAGAGGCAGGAGUGGGGAAUUUUGGACAAUGGGCUCAAGCCUGAUCCAGCAAUGCCGCGUGCAGGAUGAAGGCCUUCGGGUUGUAAACUGCUUUUGUACGGAACGAAAAGCCCCGGGUUAAUACCCUGGGGUCAUGACGGUACCGUAAGAAUAAGCACCGGCUAACUACGUGCCAGCCGCCGCAGUAA